AGUGCGAUAGCUGGGUCAAAUGGUGAUUCCAUUCCAAGUUUUCCAAGGAAUCUUCAUACUGCUUUCCAUAUUGGUUGCACCAAUUUGCAGUCCCACCAGCAUU
Molecule: microRNA precursor, 103 nt
Filed under: Marmota monax (woodchuck)
Lineage: Eukaryota; Metazoa; Chordata; Mammalia; Rodentia; Sciuridae
Source: RNAcentral